RNAcentral lists this ribosomal RNA (465 nucleotides) under uncultured bacterium. RNAcentral's name for it is "partial 16S ribosomal RNA". It matches the Rfam family "Bacterial small subunit ribosomal RNA", at positions 28 to 507 of the family's 1533-position model. The record is from RNAcentral.
GACGAACGCUGGCGGCGUGCUUAACACAUGCAAGUCGAACGGAAAGGCCCUGCUUGCAGGGUACUCGAGUGGCGAACGGGUGAGUAACACGUGGGUGAUCUGCCCUGCACUUCGGGAUAAGCCUGGGAAACUGGGUCUAAUACCGGAUAGGAGCCAUUUUUAGUGUGAUGGUUGGAAAGUUUUUUCGGUGUAGGAUGAGCUCGCGGCCUAUCAGCUUGUUGGUGUGGUAAUGGCCUACCAAGGCGGCGACGGGUAGCCGGCCUGAGAGGGUGGACGGCCACAUUGGGACUGAGAUACGGCCCAGACUCCUACGGGAGGCAGCAGUGGGGAAUAUUGCACAAUGGGCGCAAGCCUGAUGCAGCGACGCCGCGUGGGGGAUGACGGCCUUCGGGUUGUAAACUCCUUUCGCUAGGGACGAAGCUUUUUGUGACGGUACCUAGAUAAGAAGCACCGGCUAACUACGUG